Molecule: long non-coding RNA, 406 nt
Filed under: Nicotiana benthamiana
Lineage: Eukaryota; Viridiplantae; Streptophyta; Magnoliopsida; Solanales; Solanaceae
Description: long non-coding RNA (NBEN_LNC031547)
Source: RNAcentral
ACAUCGUUGGAUUAUCAACUGAAAACUCGCUGAAACUGAACAGAGGACUGAAAACUAGUGCUGCCGGAAAACAGGAACACUGUAGCUGCCGGAAAAGCAUUGUAGCUACCGGAAAAAUUCAAAGUUGUCGGAAUUGAAAAGUAAAAAUAUGGAUAGGCUCGAAAUUCAAGUAGGAGCAAACUGUCCUGAAGAAAUUUUGGCCGGAAAGUACUGUAGCUGCCGGAAAAAUCACUGUAGGUCGCUGGAAAAAAUCAAAGUUGUCGGAAUCGAACAAAAAGUGGAUGGGUGGGGUCGGAAUUGUAUUCUGAGCAAUCUGUUCUGAAGGAGCGAAGCCAAAAAAUGGCCGGAAACAGCCCCACGCGCCGGCGCGUGGUCUGACGCGCCGACAGCUGUGGUGGCGCNNNNN